CUUCUCCGUUUUUUUAUUUCCUUUUUUUAAGGUGGGAAAACUGAAACCCACCUCGAUUUCGUCCCCUCUUCCCCCUCCCCACCUUCCCUCGCCCUAAGCCCUGACAAGGAAGGAAGAAGCAGUUGGUUCAAUUUCUGGUAAUCUAUGCCAGCAAUUAUGACAAUGUUAGCAGACCAUGCAGCUCGUCAGCUGCUUGAUUUCAGCCAAAAACUGGAUAUCAACCUUUUAGACAAUGUGGUGAAUUGCUUAUACCAUGGAGAAGGAGCCCAGCAAAGAAUGGCUCAAGAAGUCCUGACACAUUUAAAGGAGCAUCCUGAUGCAUGGACAAGAGUCGACACAAUUUUGGAAUUUUCACAGAAUAUGAACACCAAAGUAAGCAAGCGGUGGUUUUAAAACUCC
This is a non-coding RNA of Castor canadensis (American beaver), 399 nucleotides long. NCBI's taxonomy places the organism in Eukaryota, Metazoa, Chordata, Mammalia, Rodentia, Castoridae. The record is from RefSeq and is a predicted model, not a curated record.